RNAcentral lists this ribosomal RNA (551 nucleotides) under uncultured bacterium. Its description in RNAcentral is "partial 16S ribosomal RNA". It matches the Rfam family "Bacterial small subunit ribosomal RNA", at positions 355 to 899 of the family's 1533-position model. The record is from RNAcentral.
UGGGGAAUUUUGGACAAUGGGCGAAAGCCUGAUCCAGCAAUGCCGCGUGUGUGAAGAAGGCCUUCGGGUUGUAAAGCACUUUUGUCCAGAAAGAAAUCCUUGGCUCUAAUACAGUCGGGGGAUGACGGUACCGGAAGAAUAAGCACCGGCUAACUACGUGCCAGCAGCCGCGGUAAUACGUAGGGUGCAAGCGUUAAUCGGAAUUACUGGGCGUAAAGCGUGCGCAGGCGGUUUGCUAAGACCGAUGUGAAAUCCCCGGGCUCAACCUGGGAACUGCAUUGGUGACUGGCAGGCUAGAGUAUGGCAGAGGGGGGUAGAAUUCCACGUGUAGCAGUGAAAUGCGUAGAGAUGUGGAGGAAUACCGAUGGCGAAGGCAGCCCCCUGGGCCAAUACUGACGCUCAUGCACGAAAGCGUGGGGAGCAAACAGGAUUAGAUACCCUGGCAGUCCACGCCCUAAACGAUGUCAACUAGUUGUUGGGGAUUCAUUUCCUUAGUAACGUAGCUAACGCGUGAAGUUGACCGCCUGGGGAGUACGGUCGCAAGAUUAAAA